Molecule: ribosomal RNA, 253 nt
Filed under: uncultured bacterium
Lineage: Bacteria
Description: partial 16S ribosomal RNA
Rfam family: Bacterial small subunit ribosomal RNA
Source: RNAcentral
CACGUAGGGGGCAAGCGUUGUCCGGAAUUAUUGGGCGUAAAGAGCUCGUAGGCGGUUUGUCGCGUCGAAUGUGAAAACCCGGGGCUCAACCCCGGGCCUGCAUUCGAUACGGGCAGACUAGAGUUCGGUAGGGGAGUCUGGAAUUCCUGGUGUAGCGGUGAAAUGCGCAGAUAUCAGGAGGAACACCGGUGGCGAAGGCGGGACUCUGGGCCGAUACUGACGCUGAGGAGCGAAAGCGUGGGGAGCGAACAGG